UACGAAGGGUGCAAGCGUUAAUCGGAAUUACUGGGCGUAAGGCGUGCGCAGGCGGUUUUGUAAGUCUGUCGUGAAAGCCCCGGGCUCAACCUGGGAAUUGCGAUGGAGACUGCAAGGCUUGAAUCUGGCAGAGGGGGGUAGAAUUCCACGUGUAGCAGUGAAAUGCGUAGAGAUGUGGAGGAACACCGAUGGCGAAGGCAGCCCCCUGGGUCAAGAUUGACGCUCAUGCACGAAAGCGUGGGGAGCAAACAGG
Molecule: ribosomal RNA, 253 nt
Filed under: uncultured bacterium
Lineage: Bacteria
Description: partial 16S ribosomal RNA
Rfam family: Bacterial small subunit ribosomal RNA
Source: RNAcentral